AAGCUGGAGAACCAGAGAGGAAGGUGCCUGACCUUGUUCUGCUCCAGGCUCCCCAUCCAUGUGCACAGGCACAUAUCUCCACAGUCACAUGCAUGCACCACAUCCCCCCCGCACCACACCCACACGCAUCCUCAUCGACACAGCAGAGUGGAAGGAGGAGGGGAGGAGGAGCGAGGGGGAGGGGAGAAGUUACACUUUCUGAGAAGUCAGAAAGCCAGCAGGCUUAGCAAUGACGGUCUGUGGGCAACUGCGUGGAGAGAGUGGCUUCUGGGGUGUCUAAUUAUAUGUCUCACGAAGGGGCAACUAUCCCUUUCCUAUUUUUAGACACGUUUCCAGGUAUAUUGUGUUUCUAGAAGUUAAGACUUUUUGAGUGGCUCUUUUUUUUUUUCUGUCCAGGUGAUUUGCAGGACCGUUUUGAUUGAUUUAAGAGAAGAGACAAUAGAAAUCUCUAUGAUCUUAGAGCCUUUGGGGUAGUUUGAAAUAUCAUGCUUUUAGCCAGGGUCAAAGGUACAACUCAAAUUCCAUCCUUUUGGCUAAACAUCAUGUAAUAGAAUAGAUGCAAAAGCAGGGGAAAAAAGAAGAAGGAAAA
This 589-nucleotide long non-coding RNA is filed under the name Rattus norvegicus (Norway rat). Its description in RNAcentral is "long non-coding RNA NONRATT027935". The record is from RNAcentral. Lineage: Eukaryota; Metazoa; Chordata; Mammalia; Rodentia; Muridae.